AUUGAACGCUGGCGGCAGGCCUAACACAUGCAAGUCGAGCGGAUGAAGGGAGCUUGCUCCCGGAUUCAGCGGCGGACGGGUGAGUAAUGCCUAGGAAUCUGCCUGGUAGUGGGGGAUAACGUCCGGAAACGGGCGCUAAUACCGCAUACGUCCUGAGGGAGAAAGUGGGGGAUCUUCGGACCUCACGCUAUCAGAUGAGCCUAGGUCGGAUUAGCUAGUUGGUGGGGUAAAGGCCUACCAAGGCGACGAUCCGUAACUGGUCUGAGAGGAUGAUCAGUCACACUGGAACUGAGACACGGUCCAGACUCCUACGGGAGGCAGCAGUGGGGAAUAUUGGACAAUGGGCGAAAGCCUGAUCCAGCCAUGCCGCGUGUGCGAAGAAGGUCUUCGGAUUGUAAAGCACUUUAAGUUGGGAGGAAGGGCAGUAAGUUAAUACCUUGCUGUUUUGACGUUACCAACAGAAUAAGCACCGGCUAACUUCGUG
RNAcentral lists this ribosomal RNA (484 nucleotides) under uncultured bacterium. RNAcentral describes it as "partial 16S ribosomal RNA". It matches the Rfam family "Bacterial small subunit ribosomal RNA", at positions 30 to 507 of the family's 1533-position model. The record is from RNAcentral.